Molecule: long non-coding RNA, 422 nt
Organism: Bubalus bubalis (water buffalo)
Lineage: Eukaryota; Metazoa; Chordata; Mammalia; Artiodactyla; Bovidae
Exons: 3
Source: RefSeq, a predicted model, not a curated record
CACAAUUCCAUUACUCGGUAACAUCAAGAAAAACAGUAAUACAUGCUUGGAGUGAAUAGUACAAAUUUGGCCCAGGGAGUUGAAGGGUGAAGAUGAGAAACAUUUUUAGAACAUCAACCUUAGAGUGAAGAGGAAGAUGACCUCCUUCCCUAAACAGUACACCAGAACUUCUAAGAACAAGGAUAAGCCGCAAAGCCCCAAGUGGGUACUGGACCGUUCUCAAUGACUCAACGGUGCUAAGAUCUUCUGACUCCAUCCUGAACUCUGCUUGCCUUGAGCCUGCUCCUGUCGUGUGGCUUCCUCCUAUGAACCUGCCAGCCUUCACUCACACUGAUGUUGCUUGCACAGUCGAUGGCUUCCAAAGCUGACUGGACCUUUCAGCGCAUUUUUCUUUUUGUCCUGCCUUCUAUAAUUAUUGUAGA